Molecule: long non-coding RNA, 1219 nt
Organism: Callithrix jacchus (white-tufted-ear marmoset)
Lineage: Eukaryota; Metazoa; Chordata; Mammalia; Primates; Cebidae
Source: RefSeq, a predicted model, not a curated record
AGCUGGGCUGAGAAUGAAUUACAGGAAGAAAGGCAGGAAGAAAAAGAAAGAGCUCUGGGGCUAUUCAUUCUUUGUGUACGGGACGCAUUGAAGAAAGUACUGAGUCCCACGUCACCAACCCAGCUGGAAAACGUGGGGGCAACCGAAGCAGUGGGAACAUGAGUCACCAGCUACUAACUCCCAGGAGCUCCAUAUUUGGGAGCCCAGCUUGUCGUUUUUCGGAUGGAGUCUCGCGGGUUCUGGGGCUGCCGCUAGCUUCAGCCCAAUGUGGAACCCACAAGGCCAGUCCCUGAAUCACAGGCCUGCUCGGAGUAGGACACUGUACGAAGCUCUGCUGAAGUUUUCCUGUGCUGAAGCAAGCAAUGUUUCUCCAGCACCUCUCAUGUGCCAGGAACACAGCAGGAGCAAAACCAAGUCCAGUACCCACCCACGGAGCCAACGCUUCCGAGAAAGAAACAGAUUGUGAGCCAGUCCGUCAGCCUGCACUGCAUCAGGUGGUGUUGAGCACAGACAAAGAAAGAAAGAAAGAAAGAAAGAAAGAAACCCAAAACACAAUGAAGAAAGAGGUCAAUUAAGUAAACCAGUUACUUAAAGCCAACAAAGAAACAAGCAUCAGCAAGCAGUCCUGUCUUCCCAAAUUAUUUCUUUUGAAAUCAAACACCUUCAUUAAGUGGUUCUUUGAACUGUUUUGCCAUAGAAAUAAAAAAAUAAAAACUUAUGAAGAAACUGAAAUAACUAUGUACAAAAUGCCCUGGUGACUUUAUUUUAAAUACAAUUGUGUGCAAUUUGCUAAUCUUCAUUGUCAUCUAUAACUGAAUUGUAUGUGCUUUUGAAAGCUAUGUAAUUAAUGACAUCUAUAUGACUGUUAAAAUGUGUCUGCAGUUGGUCAUCAUAUAAUUUAGAUCUGAGGUCCUCAGUGGAAGAUGAAGUCCAAGAAGUCAGAACCUCUGUUCCUCUUUUCACUAUAUCCCAGUACCAUAUGUAUAUGGAAGACUGGAUAUGAUUGACUUGAGUUGUAUCUGCAAUGCUUCUUGAAGGCAUGAAAACUACGGCAGGUGUUUUUAAUUACUCAGACCUCCACCCUCCAAUAUGUAAGCUCCUUGAGAAUGGGGAUUUUGUCUGGCUGGUUUUCCUGCUGAAUCCCCAGCACCUAAUAUGGUGCCCAACCCAAACAGAGCCCUUAACAGAUACUCAAUAAAUAUUAGUAACUACUAAGUUA